This 823-nucleotide ribosomal RNA is filed under the name Epicoccum draconis. RNAcentral describes it as "partial large subunit ribosomal RNA". It matches the Rfam family "Eukaryotic large subunit ribosomal RNA", at positions 78 to 919 of the family's 3401-position model. Lineage: Eukaryota; Fungi; Ascomycota; Dothideomycetes; Pleosporales; Didymellaceae. The record is from RNAcentral.
CCCUAGUAACGGCGAGUGAAGCGGCAACAGCUCAAAUUUGAAAUCUGGCGUCUUUGGCGUCCGAGUUGUAAUUUGCAGAGGGCGCUUUGGCAUUGGCAGCGGUCCAAGUUCCUUGGAACAGGACGUCACAGAGGGUGAGAAUCCCGUACGUGGUCGCUAGCCUUUACCGUGUAAAGCCCCUUCGACGAGUCGAGUUGUUUGGGAAUGCAGCUCUAAAUGGGAGGUAAAUUUCUUCUAAAGCUAAAUACUGGCCAGAGACCGAUAGCGCACAAGUAGAGUGAUCGAAAGAUGAAAAGCACUUUGGAAAGAGAGUUAAAAAGCACGUGAAAUUGUUGAAAGGGAAGCGCUUGCAGCCAGACUUGCCUGUAGUUGCUCAUCCGGGUUUCUACCCGGUGCACUCUUCUAUAGGCAGGCCAGCAUCAGUUUGGGCGGUUGGAUAAAGGUCUCUGUCAUGUACCUCCUCUCGGGGAGAACUUAUAGGGGAGACGACAUGCAACCAGCCUGGACUGAGGUCCGCGCAUCUGCUAGGAUGCUGGCGUAAUGGCUGUAAGCGGCCCGUCUUGAAACACGGACCAAGGAGUCUAACAUCUAUGCGAGUGUUUGGGUGUCAAGCCCGAGCGCGUAAUGAAAGUGAACGGAGGUGGGAACCUUUCGGGGUGCACCAUCGACCGAUCCUGAUGUCUUCGGAUGGAUUUGAGUAAGAGCAUAGCUGUUGGGACCCGAAAGAUGGUGAACUAUGCUUGAAUAGGGUGAAGCCAGAGGAAACUCUGGUGGAGGCUCGCAGCGGUUCUGACGUGCAAAUCGAUCGUCAAAUUUGGGCAUA